AAUGGCACGAAGCCUUUCAUUCUUUUGACUUUUUUCUACUAUUGAAAUUUUAUAUUUUUUCAGAACGUGCCCACAAAAGAGAGUCAAAUUUCGACACUCUCUUUUUAUUUUAUUUAACUUCGAAUCUUGAUCACGACAUGUUCUUGCAACUUUCAAGAUGUCGUCCAUGCCGCAAUUGUUAUGAAAUUUCUUUUCGCCCCUGUAUUCCAUGGAAAAAAAUAUUAUUUUACUGUGUGCCGCAUUUUGUCCAACAUCACAAUGGAAUGGAAAAAUUCUUGUGGAAUAUACUAGGUAAGAAAUGGGAAAGCAUGUAACAUGAAGAGUUAGGAGAAGGAACUAGGAUUUGCUACCAUAGUUAAUCCAGCAUGUUUAGGGUCUAUUGUAUCAUUUAAGACUCUAUCUCAAGG
Molecule: long non-coding RNA, 407 nt
Filed under: Olea europaea (common olive)
Lineage: Eukaryota; Viridiplantae; Streptophyta; Magnoliopsida; Lamiales; Oleaceae
Description: long non-coding RNA (OEUR_LNC005282)
Source: RNAcentral